RNAcentral lists this ribosomal RNA (351 nucleotides) under uncultured eukaryote. RNAcentral describes it as "SSU rRNA". It matches the Rfam family "Eukaryotic small subunit ribosomal RNA", at positions 592 to 951 of the family's 1831-position model. The record is from RNAcentral.
CAAUAGCGUAUAUUAAAGUUGUUGCAGUUAAAAAGCUCGUAGUUGGAUUUCUGGGAGAGUGCCAAUGUCCGCCGACGUGCGUGCGCAGCGGCGCUCUUCAUCCUUCUGUUAACGGCUCUUGGCAUUCAUUUGCUGGUGUCGGGCUCAGAUAUUUUACCUUGAGAAAAUUAGAGUGUUUCAGGCAGGCUAGGCCGGAAUACAUUAGCAUGGAAUAAUGGAAUAGGACUACGGUCUCUUUGUUGGUUUGAGGGACUGCAGUAAUGAUUAAUAGGGAUAGUUGGGGGGCAUUAGUAUUUAAUUGUCAGAGGUGGAAUUCUCGGAUUUGUUAAAAGACGGAACUACUGCGAAAUG